Leucoraja erinaceus (little skate) is the source of this 1624-nucleotide long non-coding RNA. RefSeq lists it as uncharacterized. The record is from RefSeq and is a predicted model, not a curated record. Lineage: Eukaryota; Metazoa; Chordata; Chondrichthyes; Rajiformes; Rajidae. The transcript is spliced from 3 exons.
GGUGGAGCUCCUUCCAGCGUGGCCUGUCGGCUUCGGAAGCUGCUGUCUCCGGUAAGGAAACGGCCAUUCCAGGUAUCCCAAGCCACUGAGAGGGUUCUCCCGACGCCGGAGCACCAUCACCCGUGGGUAAAAUGUGCAGCCCUGUACAUAGCAAAAUGAUGAAUCAACAGGAUGGUGAUUUUCCCACGGGAGUAUUGCCAUCAGUAUCAGUUCCUGGUUCAUCAGAAACAGGGAAGAAUGGAGAGGACGAAGGUGCGUCUCAUGGGAGCUGAGUGAAAUGAGAAGCCAACUGGGACUUGCCUGGGAAAAGCAACUGAAGUUGGAACAUACUCUACAGUGUUAUAUUUUACAUGUUUUAUUAAAAGUAGUGUCAACGGUGGGAAAGGGAAAACUUGAUGCGCGGGCAACUUAGCUUUGGUACAUACAAUAAAGGUAAAAGAGGAGAGACAAAUCUAUAUGCAAUAUGAAUCAUCAGGGAUAGCCACUAAAACACAGUACCUAAAAUGUGAAAUACCACAGGCAUAACAAUGUCUCUAACAAGAUGAGAAAAUAUUGUGGGAAAAUUGAACACGGAAUCGGUGCCUCUUACUGUAUGACACAAACCCUUCCUAAAGCAACUACUUAGUAUGUUGAACUGAAAUAAACAAUUAAAGGUACAUUUCACAGAGCGCGAUGCAUGCCGGAACAGGGCAAGAGGGCUCAGUAGAAAUUAAGCAAAUCAUAUGUCAUUUUAAAAUGGUAUCAAAAGAAAAUAUCUGAACUAAACGAAAAAAAAAAAAAAAAAAAAAAAUGGCCAAAACAGAUAUCACAACCAAAAACUGAUAUUGUUAAAGUAGUUUCGAAUAGCUGGAGUAACUCAGCGGGCCAGGCAGCAUCUCUGGAGAGAAGGAAUAGGUGAUGUUUCGGGUCAACACCUCUCUGAAGAAGGGUAUCGACCCGAAAUGUUACCCAUUCCUUCUCUCCAGAGAUGCUGUCUGUCCCGCUGAAUUACUCCAGCUUUUCGUGACUAUCUUCGGUUUAAACCAGCAUCUGUAGUUAUUUCCUACACAUUGAUAAAGUAGUAUCGGCCCAAACAAAUGAAAUAUUAAGAUGUGCUUUAUUCUUAACUCUGGGUACUUUAACUUUGACUGGAAUGAAGUGGCCAAGUUACUGUUAAAGAGACAACCAAAGGCAGACAAAAAGUGGUUAAAGUUUUUUGGGGAAGUUAAAAGAUAUUUUGAAGAAGAGGAAAAAUAUAUACUUCACUUACUAACGUGCUUGUGAAUAAUGGCCCAGAGGCAAAGAGAAAGUGAAGUUUGAAUUUUGAAUUAAACAAACCAAAACAACAGAUUAAAAGUAUCAUACAGUAAAGGAGUAGAUUUAACACAGCAACAACUAUAGCUAGCCAAUCCUACUAUAGAUAUAACUAUAUAUAGAAUCACAACCGAUACAAUGACCACGGAAGAAGAAACAACAAACGUUACGGCUCAAGGCCCUGGCUCAACAAGAACAGUAAAAAUUGCACUAAAAAUUAAUGAUUCCUUGAGAAGUUAGAACAACACUCACUUGGGGAUGGACUCCUGCACCCAAAGAAAUCCAGCUAUUGAGUUAACUCAUGGUAAAUUGAUACAGUAACAAAAAGGCA